CCUGCUUCAGAUUCUGUGUGUCCCUCUCUCUAUCCCUCCCCUGCUCGCGCGCUUUCGCUCUCUCUCAAAAAUAAACAUUAAAAAAAAAUUAGUAUUCAGUGGCCAAAAAUUAAGAUCCCUUCAGAUUAGAGAAAGAUCCUCAAAACUAAAGUUGGACUGGCAAUUAGAUUGGGAAGGAAGAUACAGCUCCAUCCGGAUAUGCACAAUAGAUUUUGUCUUCCCAGGUUGCUUAUUAAUGCUGUGGGCAGCCCCUUCUCUUUGUUAGAACAUCUCCUAGACUGGAAACAUGAUGUUACAGCAACCAGCUCACCGUAAAGUUGGAGAGUAUUAAAUUUCUUUUAUGGAACUUUUAAAAACUUACUGAUUUUUGUGAUAUAAAAAAUAUGUUUAUCAUUGAAAUUUAGGAAAUUACUAAAUGUAAAGAAGGAAAACCACUAUUAACUAACUGAUGAGACUUAAUUCAUUUUGUUUUUCCUGACUUUCUUCUGUUACCCCACAUGGGAAAGCCCAGAAAAAAAAAAAAAAGGAUACAGCCAUUCUCAUUAUGUUUUACCAUAUGUGUGGAGGACUGAGGUGUGAGCCUGUGUCCCGACCUUACUGAGAUUCCCUCAAGCCGUGCCCUUUUCCAGGCGGACAGUCUGAAAAUAAUUCUCUUGAUGUGUAUCUUUUAAGCCUGAACUAAGGAUGUCGAGUAGUACCCAGAAGCCUAUAGGGAGCUGCCUUGUUCAGUUUAGUGGAAACUUCAUCUCAAAAAUUCAUUUUGAUCUUUUAAGCCCCUUAUGCACCAUUAUGGACGUUUGAAGCAUAUUCAUACCCACAAAGAACUUUGUUUAGGUGGACUUUUUAAUAUGACCAUAAGAAAACCCACACUCAAAAAGAAUGAAGUACUUUCAAAGGCCAAAGGAAAAGCGGAGAAAAAACAAAGCAAAAGCAAAACAGAUGAAAUGAACCUAAAUGUGAAUUAGGAGUCCUGGAAACCAGAGUUCCCUUACCACACUUGGACAAAUGUCUCCCCCUAAAAGUGUAGUUCUCUGCUUCCCAGGUAGGAUUCAGAAGUUUUGUGUUUCAUAGGAGACUUUUCUUCUUAGUGUGUAAAGCAGAAAGCUGCAGCCCUUUCAAGGUUCUACUCUUUCCUUUACUCUUCCUCUUCUGUGGCAACAUGGCUUAGGGCUAUAUCCUAAAGGACCUAAAUCUGAAACAAAUCAUGAGGGGGCUGUGGAGCAACAGCGUGAGCUGGUUGGAGCUCUCUUCUCUCAUCCUUGGCGUUCCAGGUUGUGUUAGAACCUGGGUUCUGCAAUCUUCCCCAGUCCCCUCAUGAUCCUCUUCGGUUUAUCUUAUUUUUUGCCCAGUCUGUAUGGACUCUUAGGGGUUUUUUCUCUUCUUUUUUUUAGUACAAGUAGUUUUCUGAUCCCAGGUUUGGUGAAUGUGUUAACACUGCUUUGUGAAUAAACGAGUGAUCUGCUGAACAGUUGCAAUUGUAGAAUUCUGUUGUAUGUAAUGUACAUAUGGAGAAAGAAUGUAUUUUGUUCAUUUUCUUAAUAAAAAGUUAUAUAUGGACACUA
Molecule: long non-coding RNA, 1562 nt
Organism: Herpailurus yagouaroundi (jaguarundi)
Lineage: Eukaryota; Metazoa; Chordata; Mammalia; Carnivora; Felidae
Exons: 2
Source: RefSeq, a predicted model, not a curated record